GCACGGAGAGGAGGGUUGGGGCCCUACCCUCAAGGCGCUUACAGUCGAAUGAGGGUGCGCAU
This 62-nucleotide microRNA precursor is filed under the name Echinops telfairi (small Madagascar hedgehog). RNAcentral's name for it is "miRNA (ENSETEG00000025752.1)". Lineage: Eukaryota; Metazoa; Chordata; Mammalia; Afrosoricida; Tenrecidae. The record is from RNAcentral.